UGAGGGUGGCUACAUGACGAUU
Molecule: non-coding RNA, 22 nt
Filed under: Rattus norvegicus (Norway rat)
Lineage: Eukaryota; Metazoa; Chordata; Mammalia; Rodentia; Muridae
Source: RNAcentral